UACGUAGGGGGCAAGCGUUGUCCGGAUUCAUUGGGCGUAAAGAGCUCGUAGGCGGUUCAGUAAGUCGGGUGUGAAAGCUCCGAGCUCAACUCGGAGAGGCCACCCGAUACUGCUGUGACUUGAGUCCAGUAGAGGAGCGUGGAAUUCCUGGUGUAGCGGUGAAAUGCGCAGAUAUCAGGAAGAACACCCGUGGCGAAGGCGGCUCUCUAGUACGGUACUGACGCUGAGACGCGAAAGCGUGGGGAGCGAACAGG
This 254-nucleotide ribosomal RNA is filed under the name uncultured bacterium. RNAcentral describes it as "partial 16S ribosomal RNA". It matches the Rfam family "Bacterial small subunit ribosomal RNA", at positions 524 to 776 of the family's 1533-position model. The record is from RNAcentral.